GACGAACGCUGGCGGCGUGCUUAACACAUGCAAGUCGAACGGAAAGGCCCAGCUUGCUGGGUACUCGAGUGGCGAACGGGUGAGUAACACGUGGGUGAUCUGCCCUGGACUCUGGGAUAAGCCUGGGAAACUGGGUCUAAUACCGGAUAUGACCUUACAUCGCAUGGUGUUUGGUGGAAAGCUUUUGCGGUUCAGGAUGGGCCCGCGGCCUAUCAGCUUGUUGGUGGGGUAAUGGCCUACCAAGGCGACGACGGGUAGCCGACCUGAGAGGGUGAUCGGCCACACUGGGACUGAGACACGGCCCAGACUCCUACGGGAGGCAGCAGUGGGGAAUAUUGCACAAUGGGCGCAAGCCUGAUGCAGCGACGCCGCGUGAGGGAUGACGGCCUUCGGGUUGUAAACCUCUUUCACCAGGGACGAAGCGUGAGUGACGGUACCUGGAGAAGAAGCACCGACCAACUACGUG
Molecule: ribosomal RNA, 466 nt
Filed under: uncultured bacterium
Lineage: Bacteria
Description: partial 16S ribosomal RNA
Rfam family: Bacterial small subunit ribosomal RNA
Source: RNAcentral